This 256-nucleotide ribosomal RNA is filed under the name uncultured bacterium. RNAcentral's name for it is "partial 16S ribosomal RNA". It matches the Rfam family "Bacterial small subunit ribosomal RNA", at positions 524 to 776 of the family's 1533-position model. The record is from RNAcentral.
UACGGGGGGUGCGAGCGUUGUCCGGAAUCACUGGGCGUAAAGGGCGCGUAGGUGGCGUCGUAAGUCUGUGGUGAAAGCCCGGAGCUCAACUCCGGGUCUGCCGCGGAUACUGCGAGGCUUGAGUGCUGUAGAGGGGGGGUAGAAUGCCGGGUGUAGCGGUGGAAUGCGUAGAGAUCCGGCAGAACGACCGGUGGCGAAGGCGGCCCCCUGGGCAGUAACUGACACUGAGGCGCGACAGCGUGGGGGAGCAAACAGG